Molecule: non-coding RNA, 2367 nt
Organism: Labrus bergylta (ballan wrasse)
Lineage: Eukaryota; Metazoa; Chordata; Actinopteri; Labriformes; Labridae
Source: RefSeq, a predicted model, not a curated record
CGGCCAGCCACAACCCCAAGAUCAAGGGGUCGUUCUUGACGAAGAAACAGGACCAGGCAGCCAGGAAGAUCAUGAGGUUCCUGAGACGCUGCAGACACAGGAUCAAAGAGCUGAAGCAGACGAGGGAGCUGGAGAGGAGAGGACUGACCACCUAAAAAUUUAACUCACUUCAUCCAGGAGGAGAGGAGGAGAGACAGACGGGCGAUGGAGGAAGAGAGACAGACGGUUGACGGAGGAGGAGAGACAGACGGGCGACGGAGGAGGAGAGACAGACGGUUGACAGAGGAGGAAAGACAGACGGGCGACGGAGGAGGAGAGACAGACGGGCGACGGAGGAGGAGAGACAGACGGUUGAUGGAGGAGGAGAGACAGACGGGCGACGGAGGAGAGACAGACGGGUGCCUUACCCCACACCCAAACUUGUUUCUUCAUUUCCUCUUCCUCUUUGAAUUUUUAUAUAUCUGUCUGUCUGUCUGUCUGUCUGUCUGUCUGUCUGUCUGUCUGUCUGUCCACAUCAUCUGACGACACACUCCUCCAUCUCGUCCCUCCUGAGAGACACAGCUGAGGGUAAAACCAGUUUCUCUGCCUCCCAGAAUCCUUUGCUGUUGUGGCGUGAGGACUGAGAGACAGUUUGAGGGUGGUCUGAACAAUCAGAAAUGAGAUGUUGGUGGUGUGUACAUGAGUCUAACAAAGUACUUUAAAUCUAUUUAAACACAAUCACAUAUUUACAAACGUAUAGAAAUCUAAAUAUAUAUUCUCAUGUGGACUUUAUAGAUGCUAUGGAUGUUUUUAUUUAUUACAGCAUGAACUGUUAAUGUGACCGUAUGACUGUGUGUGUGUGACUGUGUGUGUGCUGACUGUAAGGUCGAGUCUUAAGGAACCCCUCUGACCUCUGACCUCAGACUGAGGAUGUAAUCAUUGAUGCUUCUUUGGAUACCUCGUGUUUAAACCAAUACAAUCUCAAUGUUAACGAUUGUUAGAACAUCUGUUUCAUGAGACGGCCAACAAACCCAAAAGGAAAAUAUAAACGUUUUUGUAGAGUUGAGACCGUGACAAUUUCACCACAAAGAGACACUAAAAGACUACAAAGAGACAUUAGGACUACAAAGAGACACCAAGGACUACAGAGAGACAUUAGGACUACAAAGAGACACCAAGGACUACAGAGAGACAUUAGGACUACAGAGAGAGACAUUAGGACUACAAAGAGACACCAAGGACUACAGAGAGACAUUAGGACUACAAAGAGACACCAAGGACUACAGAGAGACAUUAGGACUACAAAGAGACACCAAGGACUAUAGAGAGACAUUAUGACUACAGAGAGAGACAUUAGGACUACAGAGAGAGACAUUAGGACUACAGAGAGAGACAAAGGACUACAAAGAGACAUUAGGACUACAAAGAGACACCAAGGACUAUAGAGAGACACAAAGGACUAUAGAGAGACAUUAGGACUACAGAGAGACAUUAGGACUACAGAGAGACAUUAGGACUACAGAGAGACAUUAGGACUAUAGAGAGACAUUAGGACUACAGAGAGACAUUAGGACUACAAAGAGACACCAAGGACUACAGAGAGACAUUAGGACUACAAAGAGACACCAAGGACUAUAGAGAGACACAAAGGACUAUAGAGAGACAUUAGGACUACAGAGAGACAUUAGGACUACAGAGAGAGACAUUAGGACUACAGAGAGACACAAAGGACUAUAGAGAGACAUUAGGACUACAGAGAGACAUUAGGACUACAGAGAGAGACAUUAGGACUACAGAGAGAGACAUUAGGACUACAGAGAGACACAAAGGACUAUAGAGAGACAUUAGGACUACAGAGAGACAUUAGGACUACAGAGAGACACAAAGGACUACAGAGAGACAUUAGGACUACAGAGAGACAUUAGGACGACAAAGAGACAAAGGACUACAGAGAGACACAAAGGACUAUAGAGAGACAUUAGGACUACAGAGAGACACAUUAGGACUACAAAUAGACAUUAGGACUACAGAGAGACACAUUAGGACUACAAAUAGACAUUAGGACUACAAAGAAACACAUUAGGACUACAAAGAGACACAAAGGACUAUAGAGAGACACAAAGGACUAUAGAGAGACAUUAGGACUACAGAGAGACAUUAGGACUACAAAUAGACAUUAGGACUACAAAGAGACAAAGGACUACAGAGAGACACAAAGGACUACAGAGAGACAUUAGGACUACAAAGAGAGACAAAGGACUACAAAGAGAGACAAAGGACUGCAGAGAGACACAUUAGGACUACAAAUAGACAUUAGGACUACAAAGAAACAUAUUAGGACUACAAAGAGACACAAAGGACUACAGAGAGACACAUUAGGACUACAAA